This 65-nucleotide transfer RNA is filed under the name Dinophilus gyrociliatus. RNAcentral's name for it is "tRNA-Pro". Lineage: Eukaryota; Metazoa; Annelida; Polychaeta; Dinophilidae. The record is from RNAcentral.
CAAAAAAUAGUUUAAUAAAAAUACUAACUUUGGGAGUUAGAGAUUAAGUAACUCUUAUUUUUUGG